UCAUCAAGAUGUUGUCGGUC
RNAcentral lists this microRNA (20 nucleotides) under Schistosoma japonicum. RNAcentral describes it as "miRNA-3075". Lineage: Eukaryota; Metazoa; Platyhelminthes; Trematoda; Strigeidida; Schistosomatidae. The record is from RNAcentral.